UGCUCGGUGGUGUAGUGGUAGAGCACGCGUCCCCGGAUAGGAUAAAGCGCGGGUUCGAUUCCCGACUCAAGCCG
Parelaphostrongylus tenuis is the source of this 74-nucleotide non-coding RNA. The record is from the annotation of a GenBank genome assembly. Lineage: Eukaryota; Metazoa; Nematoda; Chromadorea; Rhabditida; Metastrongylidae.